Molecule: ribosomal RNA, 449 nt
Filed under: uncultured bacterium
Lineage: Bacteria
Description: partial 16S ribosomal RNA
Rfam family: Bacterial small subunit ribosomal RNA
Source: RNAcentral
AACGAACGCUGGCGGCAGGCCUAACACAUGCAAGUCGAACGAUGUAGCAAUACAUAGUGGCGCACGGGUGUGUAAUGCAUGGGAACGUACCUUUUAGUGGGGGAUAACUCCGGGAAACUGGAGCUAAUACCGCAUACGCCCUUCGGGGGAAAGAUUUAUCGCUAAAAGAUCGGCCCAUGUGAGAUUAGGUAGUUGGUGGGGUAAUGGCCUACCAAGCCUACGAUCUCUAGCUUGUCUCAGAGGAUGAUCAGCCACACUGGAACUGAGACACGGUCCAGACUCCUACGGGAGGCAGCAGUGGGGAAUAUUGGACAAUGGGCGCAAGCCUGAUCCAGCCAUGCCGCGUGAGUGAUGAAGGCUCUAGGGUUGUAAAGCUCUUUCGCCGAUGAAGAUAAUGACGGUAGUCGGAGAGGAAGCCCCGGCUAACUUCGUGCCAGCCGCCGCUGUAA